UCGUCCGCGAAGAUAAGAGGCAACCAAGUCUAGGCUUGAUCGCAUCGAAUGUAAAGCUUAAAAUUGUGAGAAAGGGCGGCGAGUUCGUCGUGGGGGUGAUUGUUGUAGCAUAGAACAGCCAACGAGGGAGAAGAAUGCGAAAUCUUGAUUUUCACUGUUCCGAAACUGGCCGCCAGGCCGGUCGACGCUCGCGCGAUAACCUUCAAAUCGCGUUAGACUGCACGGCUUUCAUCGAGGGUACAGAAAUUUGCUCAUCCGCCAGCGCUGUACAUCGCUAACCUUCAAAGAAAGGGCUUCACCCCGGAACGGCGGCUAGAAUGCGCUGGCAGAAUGGUGUCACCAUGGCCAAUCCGCCGUCAUGACGCGCCGUCCACUGUUCCGUGCAAGGUGAUGACUUACCAUGGCCGAAAUGGAUUCCACUGAUCCGUAACAAGCGCCAUGCACGCGAGCCUGACGGCGCAGCCCACCGCACCGCCCAGUCCGAGCGAGGCAGGCAUGACGCCUGGUGCUUUCCACGGAUUCCAACCGCAUUUAUCCGGGUCGCGAAACUCUGCCGUAUCGAGAGAAGGUCUUUCCGGCGGCCGUGGAGCGGCGCUGACGAGCGGAUGACGGCUUCGAGUUGACGGCAUCAAGAAGACGACCAGAAGUGCCCCCUCAGUCGUUCGCCUGACUCGCUUUUGUUUCGUUCUGUUUUUCCAUCGACUCCUCGCUCGCUCGUUGCUGCUAUGGUGCUGAUCCCAUGGGCUUCAUCUACACACCGCGUGUCCUUGCCGGAACGCGCAGCUUGCCGGCUCCUCGAGUCUCUUCUGCGGUAUGUGGUCGCCGCAAGCCACUCGACGCGUUGAAGUGCGCGCCUUCACCAAACAGCCAAUUGCUGUAUAGCUGCCUUCGGCGUACCUCCGCCACCCGCAUUUGCUUUUUUUUUCUUUUCUUUUUCCACAGCGCCUUUCGGCCUUGGCUUUACCGCCCCUUCACCCCCCUUACUCCUCCUUACUCCAAACCUUCUUUCGCCACGCAUUCUUACUUUUCUUCAUUUAAUCCUUGUGGGCCGCCCUCGUUUCCGAAUGAGCUUGCGCGAUGGGUGUUCCAUCGAACAGCGUGGCGAUGUGUUCUACACGCUACGCUCAGUUUCAUACUCCGCAGCUAUAGCGCUACCCAAGCAGCGCGGUCAUAGAUGCAUCACUCCGCGCGUUUCGCAGUGCAGUUGUAUUUCAUCUGCGACGCUUUUUAUGGAAUAAUUGCUUCAUACAUUGACAAAUAAAGUUUAUUCCUAUCCUAUACAUUACCACUAAAAGUUGAGGAAGUAAAGUUACGCCAAUUAACGUACUAUUUAUGCAUCUUUGUGCUGCCAGCAUUCGAAGUACCACGUGCCUGCGGUAGGUCAUUGCAGCUGUUCGCAGAAGCGUGUCAGUCCGCCCGGUCGGCAGUAAAUAGGUGAAGCUAUCAUACGCCUCCCAUGUAAUGCGCAGUUAUGCCAUAUUUUGCAACAUAGAAGUGUGAGGCAAUGCUACAUCGAGUGAUUGAAUAAGCUUUAUUACGGAGACCAAACUGUUGAUGCCCGAAGGUGGGCGCGGCCACCUUUUUUCCAGGUAGCCGUGGCCCUGUUCUGACAGCCUAUCCCUGUUCACUAGCCGUAGCUGGUCCUCAGGUCUUGGGCUUGUCAGCUGGGCCUCCCACUGGCCUUCUGUUGGUGCUUGGAUGGGCGUUGUCCGCGCGGGUCCUUUUUGCAUGUGACAUCGAAAUACUUUUUUUUUUCUUUAUCCAGUGCCUCAUCCUUUGCGAUCUACCUACGAACAGAUUGUGUCGCAUUUCUUUGGCGGAGUACAAUCAAGCAGUCGUCGUGUCAUCUCCUUGCUGCUGUCACAGGCACACAACUGCCCACCGUACACUUCCCACUGAAUAAACUUACCUUACACUAUACCUUACACGGGUAUGCUGCAUCCAUCUUGAAACACUAGAUAGACAGCUACCUGCAAAAUGCUUCACAUAACAUUUAUUGCCCUACUUCGCGGGAUCUCAGUAGUUUCUUUUCUCUUUUUCUUUCUUUCAUACUCUUUUUCUUGGACGAGGUGCCAGGGGAAGAGAACAGUUUUAGAUCACCACAGCACUCUUCCAUAACAUCACGUGCACAUCUUCGGCGGAAGAACACCGGGACCGAAUAGUUCAAGUAUACUGUUUCCCAUCGGUCGGCUGCCUUUGCUAAUAUUAUCGCUAUCACUAAUGGCCAAUUCAUGUUCUUACGAGCAUAAGAACUGCUUCGUGAAUGAGGGACAUUCUCAAAGCUUUUCGUUUGUAAGUGCUAUUUGCCAUUGGCCGACAGCCUUCGUUAAUAAUGUGUCCAACGUUAUGAUUCACCCUACUGAUCACGCCUACUCUUACGAGCUGUUCUAACAUAAGAACUGUUUUUAUAAGUAGCUGCCCUGAUUAUAAGAGCAGAAGAUGAAGUUCGAACUGGCCCAUUUGUAGAAAAUGUUGCGCGCUCUCCCAAACUGGGAAACAAGUUUGUUUUAGGUGGUUGUCGUCAUCAUAUACCUUGCCAACUAUUUGAAGAAAACAUUCUUCGAACCUGCCCAAGAUUUUCAGUAUUCGAGACUAUAGGUACAGCUGAGUGUGAUGCGAGUAACUGGAGUCGCGUAAAUCGUGUCAGCUGCUCCAACGCACGGCAUAAUGAACCGCAUGAAUUGGGCCCAGCGGAACCAUGGCCACCGAGAUGGGACUGUGCCACCGCGCGCCGCCCAAUCUCGCCGGCCAUGACUGAGCUUGUGAGUCUGACGCUGCGCCCGCUAGAUUGUGCCACCAGUCGGUGCUUUGCUCCACAGAGUUUCCUACAAAUAAUUAUGCAUGGCACUCAUAGAUGGCGCCAAGAAUCGGAGGGCUGCGCUUAACACCGAUGGCAUCGAGAAGAGAAAUAUGUACAAGAACGGGAUAUUUGACAACAGUUUGAGAAAAAUCACCAGCCCUUCCCCUGUCGAGAAAAUGGGGGUAAGAGAAGCUUGGUCGUUUGUGUAUCUGACCUUCGAUCGUGAUGAUUUUCUUUCUUUCUUUCUUUCUUUCUUUCUUUCUUUCUUUCUUUCUUUCUUUCUUUCUUUCUUUCUUUCUUUCUUUCUUUCUUACUUUCUUUCUUUCUUUCUUUCUUUCUUUCUUUCUUUCUUUCUUUCUUUCUUUCUUUCUUUCUUUCUUUCUAUUUCUAUUUUUCUCUUUCUCUAUCUCUCUCUCUUCUCUCUUUUUUUUUUUGUCCCUGUGCCGUUGAGCUUGGACCCUUUCUGUACUAUCACCAGGAUCGGCCCACUUUUCAGCGUAACACCUCCACCGCCGUCAACACUUGUGAGCCUAUAAAGCUUCGCCUAAAAUAUUGAGCACAACGUGAAUAGCACAUUAUUGCAGAUUCAGAAAGUAUAGCACAUAUGCCAGGCUGGGAACGGCGCCCGCUAUCAUUCCGAAGGCUAUAAUCUCGUGCACCAAUACAUACAAGAGCGUA
Molecule: long non-coding RNA, 3478 nt
Organism: Dermacentor silvarum
Lineage: Eukaryota; Metazoa; Arthropoda; Arachnida; Ixodida; Ixodidae
Exons: 4
Source: RefSeq, a predicted model, not a curated record